RNAcentral lists this unclassified non-coding RNA (386 nucleotides) under Hevea brasiliensis (rubber tree). The record is from RNAcentral. Lineage: Eukaryota; Viridiplantae; Streptophyta; Magnoliopsida; Malpighiales; Euphorbiaceae.
GGGCACUGCUUCAAGAAAUGGCAAUCAGACUGUCUUAGCUGCCAUUUUUACAAGAUUGGACGCUGCUGCUCUUUUAGUUUGCUACAGUCUCUGGGUAAGCAUAUGUGUACUAAAACAAUUAUUUGAUUCAUCGCAUGGUUUGUCUACUUCAUACGUAAAAUAUCUAAAAUCUUGGAAUGCUUCUAGCUGAAGCUUGUUCCUACAGUGAACUCUACAGUGUAAAGACUUCAAACUGAGGUAAAUUUUGCAGCGGCGUGUUUGAUUGUAUAUCAUGUCUAAGGUUAUCAAAACUUUUAUUCUUCGUAGAGGCGGACCCUCGUGGAAGGUGUGGGGGCACAGUUUGUUUUUUUUUGUACACGAAGUCUCGUUUGGUCACUGGUCUAGUU